CCUACGGGAGGCAGCAGUGAGGAAUAUUGGUCAAUGGACGAGAGUCUGAACCAGCCAAGUAGCGUGAAGGAUGACUGCCCUAUGGGUUGUAAACUUCUUUUAUCUGGGAAUAAAGUGAGGAACGUGUUCCUUUUUGUAUGUACCAUAUGAAUAAGCAUCGGCUAACUCCGUGCCAGCAGCCGCGGUAAUACGGAGGAUGCGAGCGUUAUCCGGAUUUAUUGGGUUUAAAGGGUGCGUAGGUGGUUAAUUAAGUCAGCGGUGAAAGUUUGUGGCUCAACCAUAAAAUUGCCGUUGAAACUGGUUGACUUGAGUAUAUUUGAGGUAGGCGGAAUGCGUGGUGUAGCGGUGAAAUGCAUAGAUAUCACGCAGAACUCCGAUUGCGAAGGCAGCUUACUAAACUACAACUGACACUGAAGCACGAAAGCGUGGGGAUCAAACAGGAUUAGAUACCCCUGUAGUC
This 460-nucleotide ribosomal RNA is filed under the name uncultured bacterium. RNAcentral's name for it is "partial 16S ribosomal RNA". It matches the Rfam family "Bacterial small subunit ribosomal RNA", at positions 338 to 795 of the family's 1533-position model. The record is from RNAcentral.